RNAcentral lists this ribosomal RNA (40 nucleotides) under Alternaria embellisia. Its description in RNAcentral is "partial 28S ribosomal RNA". Lineage: Eukaryota; Fungi; Ascomycota; Dothideomycetes; Pleosporales; Pleosporaceae. The record is from RNAcentral.
CCUCGGAUCAGGUAGGGAUACCCGCUGAACUUAAGCAUAU